This is a long non-coding RNA of Xiphophorus hellerii (green swordtail), 711 nucleotides long. RefSeq lists it as uncharacterized. Lineage: Eukaryota; Metazoa; Chordata; Actinopteri; Cyprinodontiformes; Poeciliidae. The transcript has 3 exons. The record is from RefSeq and is a predicted model, not a curated record.
UCAGCUUUUUGACAGGGUUUCUAAUUCAGUUUUUCAAAUGUUCCAGCAGAGACAUUUAUAGUAAUAGGUUCUUUUGUAAACUGACCUUUCCUUGUUCUGAGUUUAUUUAUUUAUUUAUUUUAGUAGUGUAUAUCACCACUGUUGGUACAGGUCCAGGUUUAGGGACCCCAUCUACUUUUUGGGCAUGGAUUAUGUGGGAUGUAGGCUGCAUCCUGCUUCCAGGAGCUGGCAAGGAAUAAGGCGCCAUUUUCUUGCCACUUCAUCCUUUGUAAAGGAUACUAUUUCAGUUGGACUUUGUAUAUCCAUAUCAGCCAAUUCAUGUGAUUUAUUUAUUCAUUUAUUUAUUUUCCGUUAUGGUGAUAAUUCUGCACUUUAAUCAUUUUGGUCAAAAUUCAGCAGGGGUGGGUGUAACAGAGAGAAAAGUGUGUAUGAAUGUGUAUGUGAAUUUUGCCCAAAAUAAUAAUAAUAGUGUGUAUGUGUUUGUAAUGAGAUUGUUGUAUCCAUGUGUUUGGAGCCACCUAGUGGUGUGAUGAGUGACUGCAUGCAACGGGUCCUUCAGACGCUCUCGCGGCUUCCCCCACCAGAAUUCUGAGGAGCGCUGGUGGAGCUGUUGGACCACUUGCAUGCAGUCAAUCACAUUGUGAGAAUUUCAUUUUAUAUCACACUAGGUGACAACAACCAACCAAGACUAUACUGGCGUUGUGAAAAGCA